RNAcentral lists this ribosomal RNA (253 nucleotides) under uncultured bacterium. Its description in RNAcentral is "partial 16S ribosomal RNA". It matches the Rfam family "Bacterial small subunit ribosomal RNA", at positions 524 to 776 of the family's 1533-position model. The record is from RNAcentral.
GACAGAGGUGGCAAGCGUUGUUCGGAUUCAUUGGGUGUAAAGGGUCCGUAGGCGGCCGGGCAAGUCCGGUGUGAAAUCCCACGGCUCAACCGUGGAACUGCAUUGGAAACUGCUUGGCUUGAGUGCUGGAGAGGUGAGGGGAAUUCUCGGUGUAAGGGUGAAAUCUGUAGAUAUCGAGAGGAACACCAGUGGCGAAGGCGCCUCACUGGCCGGUUACUGACGCUGAGGGACGAAAGCUAGGGGAGCAAACGGG